This 475-nucleotide ribosomal RNA is filed under the name uncultured organism. Its description in RNAcentral is "partial 16S ribosomal RNA". It matches the Rfam family "Bacterial small subunit ribosomal RNA", at positions 333 to 799 of the family's 1533-position model. The record is from RNAcentral.
ACACUCCUACGGGAGGCAGCAGUGGGGAAUAUUGCACAAUGGGCGCAAGCCUGAUGCAGCCAUGCCGCGUGUGUGAAGAAGGCCUUCGGGUUGUAAAGCACUUUCAGCGGGGAGGAAGGCGAUACGGUUAAUAACCGUGUUGAUUGACGUUACCCGCAGAAGAAGCACCGGCUACCUCCGUGCCAGCAGCCGCGGUAAUACGGAGGGUGCAAGCGUUAAUCGGAAUUACUGGGCGUAAAGCGCACGCAGGCGGUCUGUCAAGUCGGAUGUGAAAUCCCCGGGCUCAACCUGGGAACUGCAUUCGAAACUGGCAGGCUUGAGUCUUGUAGAGGGGGGUAGAAUUCCAGGUGUAGCGGUGAAAUGCGUAGAGAUCUGGAGGAAUACCGGUGGCGAAGGCGGCCCCCUGGACAAAGACUGACGCUCAGGUGCGAAAGCGUGGGGAGCAAACAGGAUUAGAAACCCCAGUAGUCCCAUG